Molecule: non-coding RNA, 1647 nt
Organism: Microcebus murinus (gray mouse lemur)
Lineage: Eukaryota; Metazoa; Chordata; Mammalia; Primates; Cheirogaleidae
Source: RefSeq, a predicted model, not a curated record
GCGCGGUCGCCCUUCAGGCCUGAGGGGCGGCGCGGCGGGGUGAGGCGGAAGAGCGGCGGGCUGCGUCCGCAGACACCUUGUUCGCCCGGGCGCCCGGCCCUGCACGAUCCCUGCGCAGGCCGGCUCGCCCUCGCGGUUAAUUGGGGUCCGAACUGCACAAGCUAAGCCCCGGGAACCUCCCGGCCCGAGCCACAGCGGGCCACUCCUACUGGUCCUGUUCUGAAAGGCCACAGGUGACUCAGCCUCAGAGUGACAAAGUCAUACACAGAAGUGGAUAAUGCACCGUUAGCUGUGACCAACGUGCUGAAACGAGUCCUCAUAUUUCAGAGGAAAACAGAUUUGAGAUCUCCGAGGCCUUUUAUCCCUGGAGUUGGGGUUGAAGCUCUGUGUAGAAGAGAUGGGAGAAAGGCUGGGCAGCUGGUGGCUGAGGCUGGGGCCACUGCCACCUCCCCACAUGGCCCCAGCAUACACUGCCCUAGGUUGUUCCUGGGAUAGGACAAGGUGUCCUGAGGGCAGAGGCUGUGUUGCAUUUAUCUCCAUGUCCCCUACACCCACUGUAGUUCUUGGUACAUAGUUGGUGCUCAAUGAAUGUUGAACUUGAAGAGCAGAUGGGGUUGGGGGAUUCGGCUGCUUCCAGGUGGCCACUGGGGGAACAACAGAGACUGUGCCUUGCCUGGUGACUGGGACUCUGUGGGGGCGGGGCUGCCCAUUACAGGCAGCCACUGGGUGGCCAGGGCCUAACACCCCCCACUCCCCCUGCACUCAUGCCUAGUGCUCUUUCAUUAACAAGAUUCUUUCUUUAGCAAUUCGGCAAAGGCCAAGUCCAGCCUAGUGUUUCCAUGCAGGAAUUUCUUCUGGGCAUUUUGGGGGAAAUUACGUAUUUUUCCACAUCCUGAAUCCUGAGAAAAAUCAAUUUGGCAAAACUGUUAUAGUUCUUCGUUGAGCUUAACAAUCAACAGAGAGUUGUUACUGGUUUGAACUCAAAAUCAGGAGUAGGAAAGUGAUGGCAUCUCUGAAUUGAACAUUAAGGUUUUUGGGAACAGGAACAGGAGCAUGAAGGAGAGACAUGGUCACCACAUAAUCACUCUUGUGUGUAGCUGCUGCAAUGUUAUGAGUGUGUGUUUGUGGACCUGCCUGGUUCUGUGAGUUAUCGUUGCAAAUAAAAUAAAUAUUAAUAGGUUUAUAAGCUUUUAGUAUACGUUUUAUAAAUCCUGUGAGUGAAAUUCCAGGAAAUAACAAGUUUUGAAAGCAAAACUAAGUCCCUAAAUUGACAAUUUCAAACCAUGAUUCUGUGUAAUGCUGUUUACUUUGGUAGAAGAUCUGAAUGUUAUAUUAUCCAAAACAGGCACACCUCAUUUUAUUGCACUUCGUUUUAUUGCACUUUGCAGACAUAUUGCACUUUUUACAAAUUGAAGGCUUGUUAUAACCCUGUAAGCAAAUCUGCUGGCACUAUUUUUCCAACAGCAUGUGCUCACUUUCUGUCCGUGACACAUUUUGGUAAUUAUUGCAAUGGUUUGGAAAUUUUCACUGUUAUUAUAUUAUGGUGAUCGGUGGUCAGUUAUCUUUGAUAUUACUAGUGUAAUUGUUUUGAGGCACCAUGAAUUGUGCCAAGAUAGCAAACUUAGUCAAUAAAUGUUGUUUGUGUUC